This 301-nucleotide ribosomal RNA is filed under the name uncultured bacterium. Its description in RNAcentral is "partial 16S ribosomal RNA". It matches the Rfam family "Bacterial small subunit ribosomal RNA", at positions 509 to 807 of the family's 1533-position model. The record is from RNAcentral.
CAGUAGCCGCGGGAAUACGAAGGGUGCAAGCGUUACCCGGAUUUACUGGGCGUAGAGGGCGUGUAGGCGGCCUGGGGCGUCCCAUGUGAAAGGCCACGGCUCAACCGUGGAGGAGCGUGGGAUACGCUCAGGCUAGAGGGUGGGAGAGGGUGGUGGAAUUUCCGGAGUAGCGGUGAAAUGCGCAGAUACCGGGAGGAACGCCGAUGGCGAAGGCAGCCACCUGGUCCACUUCUGACGCUGAGGCGCGAAAGCGUGGGGAGCAAACCGGAUUAGAUACCCCUGUAGUCCCUGUCUCUUAUAC